GCUUCCACGUAUUCCUGAGCGCUUGCUAUUAUAACCGCACCGAUGACAAUGACGCCAUGAUAGUCUCUUUGCGUUUGAUUGCAUUGCGUCGCGUUGUGUUGUGUUGUGUUGCGUUGCGUUGAGCCGCGUUGAUGGUCGCGGCGGCAAAAUGUUAACGUCGCACAACGCAUAGCACAAGUAAACAUGGAAUGGCGCGCGCGGCAAAGCAACAAAUUGGAAUAUUAGCGCCAGACCAAAAUUUAGUAAGUUUGAAAACAAUAAAGCAAUGAAAUAAAAAAAAGUUUAAAAUAAAAUAAUGAUGGAAUUGCAUCAAUUGUAAAAAGUCACGCAAGCCGCGCGACAUUUAGGCGUGUCAAGUCACCUGUAGCGCGCACCAGUACUUUUGACACCGACGCGCUGGAAAGUCACUUCAUAAUCAAACAUCGAAAAUUCAGAUAGUCAACACCGAUGGUGCGCAUUUAGCGGCUGAAUGAUUUUCACACCUCGGGCGCGUUCACGCGUCCCAGUUGGGACGAUGCCAGUGUCAGUGAACGCGUUGCGGCGCGUUCCAUUAAACUGUCGCCCGGUGUCACGCGCCACCGACUAGUCACUGCACCGGUGGCGCUGAUUAUUAAACCACCAAACCACCAAUCAACCGACUGAUUGCGCGACCAAACAACCAGUCAAGCAACAAGCGAAGAUGCCACCGUUCUGUGUUUGGAAAUAAAAGAAGUACACAACGAGGUACCAACGAUUGCACCGCCGAUUGACAGCUGUCCGGGUUACGUCAGUCAAAAUGACGCAUCGUAUUUUGGUAACAGGGAAACAGACAAUUCCAGCAACCGACUUGUAAUGUGCCGACGACUAUGCGUCCCAAAGUGCCCGUAGCAAAGCGCCAUCCGCGCGGCAAUCAACAAUGGUGGCGCGCACCGUGCAAGGUUGCGUUGGUGCGUACGUUGAGUUGUCAACAACGCGGCGACGCCAAAAAAGUAAUGAAAAAUGAAUGCAAAUGUAUGUGCAUUAAGUGUAAAAUGGUAUUGUAGCAUAGCGUGGAAGCGAGUUUCUAAAUUUUCAUUGUCGCCUUGUCGUUGUAAAAGCAUAAAACGCCAGGCGUUGUAAGGGCAACACCCAACUGCCGCAGUAGAGGUCCCAAUCUACUGUAUUAUAACUUCAUCAGCUGUGUAGGGUAGUUGUUGUUUUUAUUUUGCCAUUGCACUGAUUAGUCGCGCUAUGUCAGUCGCCCUCAGUGAACAAAAAGUGUGCGGCGACUUUCCGCUGCCAUGGCGCGCCACAGUUAAUCAUACGAAAAAAGCACUAUUUGAAGAAUAUAAAUGGGUGUAUGUGUAUGCAUAAAUCAAUGCCGUUAUGCGCAUUCGUAUGUAAAUUCAUCUCUGAAUCGUGCGCGCAUUUCCCCUGUUUGCUCCACUCUUGGGUUUCCCUGAGAACUUAUGUAUGUUGCUGAAAAUGACUCAGUUAAUUAAAUGCAGCGCAAGGGCGAAAUGUAUUUGAAUGUGGAGGCAAAUUUGAUUGGAGGCGUAUUUAGCCUACGAUGGAAAAAUGGGAACCAAUUGAGGAUUUUAAUUAAAUUUUUAGAUUUUACUUGGCAACAAAAAAAAUAUUAUAUUUUUGUAUGCAACUGAGAGGAUUUCCGAACAUGAACAGAAGGGGAAAGGGGGAAACAACAAUUGUUCAGAACAAAAGAAAGGUUGGUAGUGAUGGUUAAGAUGGAAGGUUCUGCCAAGGAAAUAUUUAUUAGUUAGGAAAAUGGAGAGAAAUCCUGGCCUAGCCAGGGGUACAGCAGUGUUUGAGAAAAAUUAACUCUCAUGGCGCGACUGGAAGAACGGCCGUCGAAUGGAACAAAACUAUGAGAUGAUUUGAAAAGCCGAACAAAGAAAAAUAUUGGUGAAAAUACAUAGAGCCUUACUGCGACCGAAGGGGGCCCAUUCCAUCAUUUUCUCCGUUCUGAAAUUAACCAACCUUGAUAAUCUCGUUUUUAUUUCAAGGUCAGCAGCUCUGAGCGGCAGAGUUUGGUGCAUGAUUCGACGGCAAUCCACAAUCACACCAAGGCAUUCAUUGCUCCAAGAAAUACACCCGUGAUUUAUUAAGUCCAUCAAAUAUUCAAUCUACUGUGAAGCAAAGCCAACUCCACGACAGUCGGUUCUACGUUACCGAAACGACCCGGAUUUAUAUCCCGCUAAGGACUGUCACUCCAGCAGCAUUCCCCGUAUGUAAGUAUGGGGAAUAUUUAUGCUGCUACAACACCACCACCAACAACAACAACAACAACCGCUUUUAGGACAACAUCAUUCCAAAUAAAUAAAACAAAAACUAAAUAAAAACAUUAAUAAAAAAAUUAAAUAAAACAAAAAAAUAAGAACAAUUAAAAAAAAAUUGAAGAAUGAAACAAAACAUAACAUAAAAAUUAAAAAAAAAAUAAAAAUUAAACAAAACAAAAAGUAAACAAAACAAAGAAAUAACAAAAUAGAAUGAAACAAAAGAAAAUAAAUAAAUAAAAAAAUUAAAUUAAAUCUAAAUUUAAAAAAAUGUAUAAAACAAAAAAUAAAAAAAUUAAGCAAAAAUUAAAUAAAACUAAGUACAAAAUAUAAAAUUAAAUCUAACCAGAAACUAAACAAAUAAAUUUAAAAAAAUAUAUAAAAUAAAAAUUAAAAAAAUGAAAUAAAACAAAAAUUAAUAAAAGCAUUAAACAAAUCAAAAAUUAAGAAAAAAUUAAACAAAACCAAAGAAUAAAAAAAUAAUUUGUUUUACUUUACAUAAAAAAAUUCAAAAAAUAAAAAAAUGUAAUGCAUCAAAAAUAAAUAAAAAUAUAACGUGAAACAACAAAAAUUAAAUAAAAAUUUUAUUAAAUAAAAGCAAAAAAUAAAAAGAUUAAAUAAAACAAAAUAAAAAUAAAAAUAAGUAAAAGCAGAGUUUAAAUAAAACUAAAAAAAAAAAAUUAACUAAAUAAAAAAUAAAAAAUAGUAUAAAAUAAAAAUUAAUAAAGGUCUGUGCAGGUUUCAUUCCGCACAAGUUAACUGAGGAUCAAAAAUUGCUCAGAAUUCAACAUUCGAAGGACCUCAUUAAAAAGGCGAGGAAAGACAUUGUAACUGGUGAUGAAAGGUGGUGUAUAUUGCUAUUACUGUUAACAAACAAACAAACAAACAAACAAUGAAAC
Molecule: long non-coding RNA, 3151 nt
Organism: Anastrepha ludens (Mexican fruit fly)
Lineage: Eukaryota; Metazoa; Arthropoda; Insecta; Diptera; Tephritidae
Exons: 4
Source: RefSeq, a predicted model, not a curated record